This 373-nucleotide ribosomal RNA is filed under the name uncultured bacterium. Its description in RNAcentral is "bacterial SSU rRNA". It matches the Rfam family "Bacterial small subunit ribosomal RNA", at positions 525 to 896 of the family's 1533-position model. The record is from RNAcentral.
ACGGAGGAUGCAAGCGUUAUCCGGAUUUAUUGGGCGUAAAGCGUCCGCAGGUGGUUUACCAAGUCUGCUGUUAAAGCGCGAGGCUUAACCUUGUACAGGCAGUGGAAACUGGUAGACUAGAGUAUGGUAGGGGUAGCGGGAAUUCCCAGUGUAGCGGUGAAAUGCGUAGAUAUUGGGAAGAACACCAGCGGCGAAAGCGCGCUACUGGGCCAUAACUGACACUCAUGGACGAAAGCUAGGGGAGCGAAAGGGAUUAGAUACCCCUGUAGUCCUAGCUGUAAACGAUGGGUACUAGGUGUUGACCGUAUCGACCCGGUCAGUGCCGUAGCUAACGCGUUAAGUACCCCGCCUGGGGAGUAUGCACGCAAGUGUG